This 8303-nucleotide unclassified non-coding RNA is filed under the name Leishmania donovani. RNAcentral's name for it is "gene:LdHU3.20.1360(CDS-product:WD40_repeat-contai ning_protein)". Lineage: Eukaryota; Euglenozoa; Kinetoplastea; Trypanosomatida; Trypanosomatidae. The record is from RNAcentral.
AGUGCCCACCACCAACACCACUCUUCUGUACGCAUCUCGCGUGAGCUUCCUCUUUCUUUACCCUAUUUUCCGUGUCUUCUUUGCUGAAGGAAAUUGUCCUUUUCCUCUUCCUUUAUCGAAACGUGCCGUGCACACGGCGGCACACUCGCACGCGUCACACACAUCAGCGCAUGCCCGCCUCGUUGCGUAAAAAUCUGCAACGGUCCCCGGCGGACACGCAGCCACGUGCUGCUGCAGGAGGCGCCGCCGCAGACCACGCGGUGCCACCAGCGACAGGAAAGGCUGGCUUCUCCUCCGCGGGUGCCUCGAACCCCCUGCAGGCAUCACUUACACAAGAGCGUGGUGGCAGCAGCGACACGUCGGCAGCUCCCAGUCCUUCUGGCCUACCCCCAUCCGGUGGCCACGGUGAUGCCAUGGGCAUCACUUCUCCAUCGGUCGCCACUUUCAAGCGCCCCGGGCUCGCUCCUUUCCGCCCGCCCUCCGUUCUCCAGGUGAACGUGGCCGCUCGGUCAGCAGGUGUGGCUCGAGGGGGCGGGGCGGGUGGCCAAAGCCCCUCCUUUUCACCUCAGCAGCAUCAGCAGCAGGGGGCUAGCGGAACCUCCCCGCCACUAUAUCGGUGCAGCCUCGAUGGCACAAUCCCGUGCCCCGCUCUUCCCUCGGCAACUGCCAUGGCAGGAGGGACAGGAGACGGCGGCGCAGCUUCAUCGUCUGGGCCUUCUAGUACGCUCACAAGCGGCAUGUCCGUCUCGGGCCUGUCAAACCACCUUCGCCUCAGCGAGGGCCUGAGCUGCCUCGACUACCAUCCAACCUUUCGCGCGCUGGCGAUCGGCAGCACUCGUCAGAUUCACGUGGUGGAAGUGAUCGCAAUAGUGGGCCACGACGUGGCGGCCGCAGUGCGGCUGCACCGACAGCAGCAGCAGCGACAGCAACAGGCAAACACGAAUGCAAUCACGCCAUCAGACGGCGAGCGCGCUCACGCUUCCCUCGGCACCGCGGCUCCGUCUGACCUCCCUGCGUCGCCGCCGCCGCCGCUAGGGCCUGCGCCCUUUUUGAUGCGCAAUACCGGUGUCUUCGGCGGCCUCAACAAGGUGGAGAGCGUCGCGUGGUACCCGAGCACUGAGGAGGCCUCUCUGGCCUUCAUUCAGCCGGCGCGAACAGUGACCAUCUUCCUCGACGCCAUCCAGUUCAAGGCGGACGGUACGUACCUCCCGCAGCAGUGGACGCGUUCGCAGUACAAAGGCAAGACUCUCACCUCCGCCAUGGCUGCUGGCGGCGGCUCGACGGCGAUGGCGGUCGUGACAAACCUCGACUGCGCCUCGGGCGGGAUCACACCGGCAGCCUCCACGACCAGCCUGGGCGGUAGCUCCGGGCUCUACACACCUGCCUCCGCGUCACUGGUCAGCUCCCUUUCCUACAGCGCCGCCUCCGUCUCCCAAGGCAGCGCGCCGCACGAGACGAGCUUUUCCACGCCUACCAGUUCAGGUUUCUCCACAACGGGGUUUGCGGCCAGAAACCUGCCCCAUGCUGUGCGCAACCUGAAAGGGCCGCUGGCGAAGGAGCUGAUUGAGCUGAACAUCGACAUCACGUACAUGCGAGUGGAGAAGAUCGUCUGGGAUCCGCACCACCCCUACACUCUCGCUCUCAGCUCUCCAGCGACCCACUUUGAGGUGUGGCAGGUGCCCACGGACGGCUGGCGCGUCUACGCGCCCCAGCUGGUGCUGCGACCGCCAGCGCACAACACGCGCAGCGUCGUUCGAGACAUCGCCUUCUCACCGUCCAACCCCGAUCUCAUUGUCGUGGUCACGGAGUGCGGCAACGCCGGACAGGUGCUGCUCUAUUAUCGUCGUCAAGUGGAGGCGAAGCGGUGCUUCGACAUUAGCGGCCCGGGCCUGUCCGUCGCCUUCCACCCGAUCUUCUCCGACCUUCUCGCCGUGUGCUUCCGCCGCGAGAAGGCAAAGCCUGACACACGCAUAUCAUUCCUGCAGGUCAUGCCCGUCGGUGGCGCCGCCGCUGGAUGGUUGUCGGGGGUCUCCACGGCCGCAGCGACAGCGGUACCCGCCACCUCAUCAGAGACCGAAGGAAGCCCACUAGCUGCCUCGUCGGCGUUAGCAUCUGCUGCCACUGCCCCUGAAAGUGCAGACGCAAGCUUCAUGGCCAAGAUGGUUCCUGCGAGCACGUCGUCGUAUCUCGCCGAGCAGCCGUAUCUGCCCCAUAUCGACAACUACGUGUGCAUCAGCCGCAUACGAUGGCGACCCUCAUCCAUGGGAAGGCUUACGGAGCCGAAGCGGCACCAUUACAUGUCUUUCACGCCCUCUGCCCAGGCGCUCUUGGCGGCAUGCAACUUGCCCAACUCAACUGUCCCGUCCGCCCCUGGCGCCUUCACCUGGGUUGACCUGCUGCACUCGCAGCUAUGGUUCGCAUCGGCGGCGAUGACGACCGACACAGACCUUUCCAUCUGGGAUGCCACCAACGGCUUUUUUCCUGUGUGCGUCGUCAAGCACCUCGCCCCGCGCGGUGACACGACGACCAACGAGUCGAACGACUUUGCGUGGCUCAAUGAGCUGACACUGGUGACAAUUUUCAAGAGCGGCGACGUGGUCUGCACCAGUCUUCUGAACAGCCUCCCAGAAGAUUCCGUCAUGACCAGCGCCGAGCGGGUGCAGCUGCGGGCAGUGAAGCCGCAGCAACAGCAGCAGCUUCACCGGCUACGCCAGCAGCUUGAUUCCAAGUCGAGAGAUGAACUCGGCGAGCUGUACAGUAAGCGAAUCGCAGAGGAAGAGGCAUGUCUGGCCAUGCUGCCGGCGUAUGUGCGCGACCCGUUCGCGGAUCUACUCACCACAUUCACCGUUCUGCCGACUACCUCCAUCGUGUCCGACCUUUUCGGGCACUCCUACACCAUUCGCAACACUAACGCGGCCCUGCGGCGCCACUACCAUCAGAUGAUCCGACGCGAGUGCGGGCAGCUUGUUCGCCGUCUUGCCAUUCAGGUGUCGAAGGAAGCCGUACUACGCCAGCAGUGGACGAGCAGGCGGCACCAGCUCUCCGGCGUCAGUCCCUCCACUGGGCCCGGCAUGGCGAGUGGCCUCGCGGCCCUGCAGGAACAGCGGUCGCGCCGCCCACGCUCGCCAUUCACGCAGACGGGCGGCCUCCGCGGUCGAGCCACGUCGUCGCAAGGCUCCAACUCGACGCCGCCGAGCCCGCAGUGCAGAAUGUUGACGCGGCGAUGCUCGGUUGCCACCCCCUCGUCGUCGACUGGUGGGCAGCACAUGCCCGUAGCGCCGAUCUGGGGAGAAGGCACGAGCGGCGGGCCUGCUGGCAGUCGUGGAUUGGGUGGUGGAGGCGGCACCGCGGCCGACGCCAUCGGACUCCCCCAGCACCCGCCCUGGAGCCUGGAGGACGUGAGCGAGGCGGGAAUGGUCUCCCCGCAGCACUCCCGAGAACUGAGGCGCCACCCCAGCAAUGCGGGCGCUGGCGGCGGUGUCAGCAGCGCCUCGCCCCAUCCCUACCUCGGCGUCCAUCACGAUGGAGGGAUGGAAGGUCAGCCUGUGAGGGAUGCUGAGGCGAGCGGCCACGUCUCUUCUCCGUGUCCCGAGGUGACGCAUGUGGAAGAAGAGGCAGCAGCGGCUACUGGACGCGUUGGCCGCAGCUCCUCUCGCGCGUCCUCCGCAGUCGCUUGGAUCAAGCGACUGUUGGGCGCUUCAUGGCGAGAGCGAUUGAGUCGAGACCGGUCCAGCGAACCCCGUGAUCAGUGCAUCUUCCACUCACCAGGCCGUUCGCAGGUGAAAGAUGCAGCUCUCGUCAUCAACUCUAGCGACGACGGCCCUGCGGUCUUGGCUAGCGUGCUUGACGUCACACCGAGCCUGAGUGUUGUACCAUCGUCAGACGAUGUCGCAGCUGUCUCCCCGCCUCCGUCGCGUUUGCGUCAGCUGCCACCUUGUGGAGCCGCCUGUGGUAGUGGUACCUACGGUUCGUCUGGUCUUGGUCCAGCUCAGUCCACAGCCACAUCGCCGAUCAGCGUCAUACACAUCGACAACAGUGGUAGCAGCUGUGGAAGUCCACACCAGCUUGCCCCGACAGCGCCGGCCGCCCAAGUACACGCGGCAGCGGCACACAGCUUCCCUGCGUACCCUGGCGCGUCGACGAGCGCCAACGCUUCCGUGAGCUCCGCAUACUCCCCACAGCAGCAACGCGUCGGCAGCGGUCGUGGUGGGCCCAGUCCUUCCUCACUCUUGCUCACAAGCUCCUCUCUCGGGGCUCCUCCCUCGGUGCCCGGUGACCUCGACAUCGUCGGAGGCGGCAGCGGCGUUGUCUUCACGCAACUCUUCCCGCUGUUGAAUGAGUGCGUGCGCGUGUGCAGCGGCGGCGGUAGUGGUGGCAGCUGCAAGGCCCGCGGGAAGUGCAAUGUCAGUGAAGAACCACGAGUGUCACGCUUCUCCCUCAGUGCUGCUAAGACGUCAGCGCCGGUUGCCAGCGUGGCGUCUCUCUCAGUGGCACCUGCUAGCCUCGACAACUCACCCACGUUGGCGGCGGCCUCUGCUUUCCGCCACGACCUGCCUGCAGUUCUGUUCUCCUCCGCCUUGCACCCAUCCAGCGCGGAGCUCAAGUCAGAAACAGCCACCACGUCUCCACUGCUGCUGCCGCUUUCGAUACUGGCCUCGGCGGGAAGUCGCGUGUCCGGCGGUGCCGUCGUGCCCACGCGCUCGGCGAGCGCGGCCUCCCAGCUGAUGCCAGCGCAUGUCUAUCUAGCCUCGCAGAGAGUCGUCACCGUGGCCGUGGAGAGCUUUGUGCUGAGCGAUGCGGUGUGCGGCUGGUCGUACCUGGAGAAGCAAGCGGAGCAGCUCGCCUUCGUGCGCUUUGCGCUCGAGUGGGACAUGGGCUACGAGCUGGCGCUGGCCAUGAAAGCCCUGCGGCACAAGCGCACAGACGCUGAAGCGGCGGCAGAUGAGACGGCGCCGCACAGAGCCGAUCCUAUGCCUACAGCGCAGCCUCGCGACCCUGCCCGCUCGCAGACUUCCUCGCGCGAAGUAGCGGCACACAGCGCCCAUACCUCGAGCGCUCUCCCGCGCUCGUUGUGGCGCAGCAGUAGCAGCAGCAGCGUAGGCGGUCGCCAAGAUGUCGAGUGGAGGUCACAGCAGCGGAAGACCACAGAGCCGUACUGCCCACAGCUUAGCGGCACCUACUCUGGUGUUGCAGCUGGCCGAGAGCGACGUUGUGUGGGCAACAGCAGCACACGUGGGCCCCCACACGUGCGUUCUGGUGCGCCAAGUGCUGAUCCGACUCACAUGGUCGACUGGGGAUACGGGGUGCCGGUGCCAAGUCACGAGGAUGUUGAUGACAAGGUCGCGGCCAUGAUGGAAGAAAACGCGCGCAUCUGUGAGCGAGUGAUGCGCCAGCGGUGGGAGGCCGGCUGUGCCGGUUUCGCGGGCGGCGGUGCUCACAUAAAUCGGCGUCCAUCGCAAGGCGGGGACGACAGUGGGGUCGACGUGUCAGGCAGUCCCGCGUGGUCCUCUGGCGACGCCGCAACGACACUGAAUGACGUAGAAGGUGUCGAGGUAGGUCACACGGACGCCGCACUCGCUGCAGAGUUGUCGAACGCGGCCGCCUACGAUCCGCGCGCGCAGUGGUGGCGCGCUGCCGCUCAUGCCUGGCGCUCACAUCAUGUCUCUUUCAUCAUAUCCAUCACUUCACAGCAGCUUGAGUACGCGUCGCUCAUGGGAGACGUGCAGUACAGCCUCGUUCUGUACAUCCUCUUUUGCCUCUGGUGGCGCCUGCACAGCGAGGUUGCGGAGGCGACAUACGCGAUGGCUCUCGAAGCACGCGCUCGUCGACACUACGUUGGCAGUGGAGUGAGCCGUGACGGUAGCGCUGGUGCGCGAGACAGUCACCGAGCUGCAGCACCGCAGGAGCGCAGCCCUCACAACAAUGCAGGGCCUCGUCACCGACUGCGCGCUGUCGCGCUCGCUCCAGGGAUAGCGGCGGAAGGAGAGGAAGGCGACGGCAGAGGUGGGCCGGGCGCCUCAGAGGCCGCGGCUGACCCCCUCCCCAGCACCGCUGCGCCGCCGCUACGAAGCCCGUCAACGGACGACGACGACGACGAUGCGGGGGGAACGCGAAUCGGCCUCCACUGUGUCAGUGACGUCACAGACAGCGACGACGGCGAAUACGCCACCGACGGCAAGAUACCGUCGCUGGAAGAGGUGGAUGAGCUCCGUCGGCUCUGCCUCUUUUUUCUUCGAUGCCCGCUGAUGCCGCUCUCCCCUAACCUAGCCUCGCAUCAUCUGCAUAAACAACCUCAUCCGCAUCUGCGUCAAUCCGCCAGCGUCGACGCUCUCUCCUCUGUAAACGGAGGCGGCGCUGAGCCGGAAGACCGCGCCGGGAAUGUCAGCUCACCUAUGGGUGGCCUCUCUUCCAUAGCAAUGCUGGCAGGCGGCGGUGGUGCGCCACGGCUGACGGGGGGAUCCGAUAUUGUCGGCAGCCUUGGCAGCGGAGGUUUGUUGCGAGCCUCGGCCUCGACGAGCAGUCUUCCCUCGCGCAGCCACAACAACAGCUCACGACGCCUCAACGACACACCACCAGCAUCUGCCGUGGUCGGCAGCCUCGGUGGCGGUGGUACUGCGCCCCCCAGCUACCGAGCACACGCCAUGUCCCCCACGCCACAGGCUCUGCACCGGCCUGACAACAACGCCAAUGGUAACCGCGCUGGUGUCAGGCAGGGGGCAGCCACGGGUGGCAUAACGCUGGAGUCGCGCAAUGCGUACGCGGACUUGGAAGGGGUGCGUGGUGCGUGGAUGAACGCCCGCAAUGCUGAGGAUCUGUGCACCACACCGGACUACUGCGCGCCGGAGGAGUGGAAGAUACGCGCCCUUCAGUGGCUGGAGACCUACACCGCAGACUUGUACGCGCGCCAGCUCUACGUGCCGCUCAACGAGCUCCUCCUCGUUAUGCCGGAAAUCUUUCGCGAGCCGACGAACCCAGUGCUGCCGCGCGCUGCGGACAUCGCGUACGAGAAGCAGAUGACCUAUGUGUACUGCGGCACCUGCUCAAAGGCGGAGCUGUGGAGCCGAACCCAACAGGACGCCGUUCCUGCCGCAGUGCGGUUGUACGAGCUAGUCGUGCGUCGUGGCCGCCACAGCAGCAGCAGCGAAGAGGAAGGAGACGACAGCAACAGCAACAGCGGCGUCAGCAGCGCCACGAAGGCGAUAGGUGCCGGCAUGCGACGGUCGCGGCGCAAGGGACACGGCGAACACCACCACGCUACGGCAGCGAUUCGAUGUGGUUCGGAAAUGUACUACCACAGGGACGAUGGCGACUCGUCGUCUGUCGCGACAACGCCGUCGGUGGAGUCGCCGACGUCCUCGAGCCCUUCGGUCGCUGCGGACGAUGAUGUUCUUGGGGCAAGGCUAGCUGAUGGAAGGCCUGCAUCGCCCGCCUGCUCGGGCGUCGGUUUGCCCUCCGAGCACAGCACCAAUGACCGUUCGGCAUCGGCCGUUGAUCCGCUCCAUGAAGUAAUCCCUCUGGAGAAGGUAGUCACCGGCCGAGAGCCGGAGCUGGACGGUAGAAGCAGCCAUGCCAGUACAACCGGAAGGUCGCACCUGAACGCAGGCGCCGCCGGCGAGGGCGCAGCAGCGUGCCCGGCAGCGUUGUUGGCGCAAUGUUCUCAGUCUGUCUUUGCUUCUUCCUCCCGCCUGCUGCCGCAUGGCCAGCACAACCGACGCAUCACGCGUCUCCGCUCCCGUCACAGUCGUCGCAGCCUCGACGACGUUGUCGACGGUGCUCCCGACGCUGAGCGAGACGGGGACAACCCCGACGAAGGGGAAGAGUUGCACGUUGCGGGUGCCGGCGUGGGCGUGGCCCGUCGUCCCGAGCGGCGCACCGCCGUUGGCUGCGACUGGUGCGACGCGAACCCCACCGCCAACAACGCGGCAUGUCGGCGCUGCCACAACCGCUGCGCCAUGACGUGCGUCAUCUGCGAAGAAAUUGUGGAGGGCAUGUUCUUCUGGCUUCGAUCCUGUGGACAUGGCGGUCACGUGCACCACAUAGAGGAGUGGCUGCGGUACUCGCAGGAGUGCCCCAAGUGCGGUGUUCCCAUCACACAGACGUGGAAGGGCAACUGAGCGCAGGGGCGCGGGGCAUCUCACGGAUGCGAGGGAGUUUCUGCACGGUUGUGCGUACGGGUGUAUGUUUUGGGGGGUGCACCUGUGGGAACCGCGAAGAAGGCAACAAAAAACCGCUCUAUGCUGAGAGGCUCCAUACCUUUUCGUAAAUGCAUGUGGCUGUAGCUCUGCAUGUACUGCUGACACAAC